GAUGAACGCUGGCGGCGUGCCUAAUACAUGCAAGUCGAGCGAACAGACGAGGAGCUUGCUCCUCUGACGUUAGCGGCGGACGGGUGAGUAACACGUGGAUAACCUACCUAUAAGACUGGGAUAACUUCGGGAAACCGGAGCUAAUACCGGAUAAUAUAUUGAACCGCAUGGUUCAAUAGUGAAAGACGGUUUUGCUGUCACUUAUAGAUGGAUCCGCGCCGCAUUAGCUAGUUGGUAAGGUAACGGCUUACCAAGGCAACGAUGAGUAGCCGACCUGAGAGGGUGAUCGGCCACCCUGGAACUGCGACACGGUCCAGACUCCUACGGGAGGCAGCAGUAGGGAAUCUUCCGCAAAGGGCGAAAGCCUGACGGAGCAACGCCGCGUGAGUGAUGAAGGUCUUCGGAUCGUAAAACUCUGUUAUUAGGGAAGAACAAAUGUGUAAGUAACUAUGCACGUCUUGACGGUACCUAAUCAGAAAGCCACGGCUAACUACGUG
This 497-nucleotide ribosomal RNA is filed under the name uncultured bacterium. RNAcentral describes it as "partial 16S ribosomal RNA". It matches the Rfam family "Bacterial small subunit ribosomal RNA", at positions 28 to 507 of the family's 1533-position model. The record is from RNAcentral.